UUGACUCUCCCUGCCGGCCCCUGGAGGUUGGGCUCCCCCUUUGAGUCUGGUCCCUCCCAAGGUUUCUUCCUUCUUGAGAGUUUUUCCUUGCCCCUGUCGCCUCUGGCUUACUCACUGGGGGCUUUGGGUGGGGAUGCUGUAAAGCGCUUGGAGACGAUGUAAUGUUAUGAUAAUGCGCUAUACAAAAAUACAUUCGUUGUGGUUCCUCCGGGGUCUUUGGCUGGUUAGCCAGACCUGACGUCGGCACACGCGGAGUCUCUCGCGCCUUUGAACCAGUGACGGCUCAAUUAGGAUCAUCUUUCGAAGAAAUCUCCCCCCCUUCCCCCCGAGUAAUCUGCCUGGCAUCUCAUCAACAGAGGAGGAUAUUACGGCCCACGGCAGAGCGCAGAGCGCUGCAGUCAGCCGGGGCCACAUCCCAGGAAGCGUAAGGGCAGGGAGCAUCCCGAACAACGUUCCAGUGCGCGGAUGUACAAUUUACUAUUAUGGAUGUACAGUUACUGACGCUCUUCAGCCUAAAUGCAUGUCUGUUGAGCUGCGGGAGGAGACUUGCACUCGCACAACUCGACAUGCAGACUCCGCACGCGCGCAGCGCGAAGCUGAGGAAGGAGAAGCUACACUUGGAGGCGUGAAGCUGAAGUUAAGCCCUCUGAACCUCCGUGGAUCUUUAUUACCUCGUACAUGUGGUAUGAUACAGUGCCUUGUGAUGUCGCGGUGACAGGCUCUGCCCACACCGUUCUGCUGAUACCCUCGGAAUGUUCUCUGGAAGGACACCCAGAAGCGUGCGGGCCAUCGCAGGAAGGAUGAUCAAGAGCGGCCAGAUGAAGGACGUCGGCUGAUUGCGUAGGUACGGCCGCUCCUGCUGGUCGUCGACAAGGCUGCGGGAGCGUGCAGCGCUGGGGCGAUUCAUCACGGAGAUGCUGAUGGGAAGCCGGGGAUGGGGUCGGCGUCCUCUGCGUAACCCUGCGUCACCUUGCGUCACCCUGGGCCCGGCCAUUCUGGUUAAGAACCACUUGGACUCCAGCUGCCGUUUGCAUUCGUAUUCUGCUGAGACUGCAUAGAGGUUAGGAAAGGAUGUGUGUGCAUGAGGGAAGAAUCGGUGUCAUUCUCAGUGAUGAGAGUGAAAUGUGUUUUCCAGGUACAUUAGUAUAUUCAUAUUGGAGUGUUAAGAAAUAAAAAAAUACAUAAAGUCUGUAA
This is a long non-coding RNA of Brienomyrus brachyistius, 1194 nucleotides long. RefSeq lists it as uncharacterized. The transcript is spliced from 3 exons. The record is from RefSeq and is a predicted model, not a curated record. Lineage: Eukaryota; Metazoa; Chordata; Actinopteri; Osteoglossiformes; Mormyridae.